RNAcentral lists this long non-coding RNA (1554 nucleotides) under Betula platyphylla (Asian white birch). Lineage: Eukaryota; Viridiplantae; Streptophyta; Magnoliopsida; Fagales; Betulaceae. The record is from RNAcentral.
AUCAUGCGCAAUAAGAACUUCUCUCUGUUUUUUUCUUUUCUUUUCUUUUUUUGAAACUCCACGUGAUCAAAUUGUGAAACUGCGUGCGCGGCAAUAAUUAACCAUGGAAAAAAAUGAAGGCGUCAUCUCUCUCCUAUCGUCAGAUCACGGUGGUAGAUGCCCUAACUAUGGUAGAAAUCAAUUAUUUCAAUUGAGAAGAGCUGCACACCGUUUUUUGGUUUUAGUCCUAAUUCUAGUUUUUAAUCUAUUUUUUAUAAUCUUUUUGGGAUUUUAGUUCAAUUUCAAAAACUUGUGUUGGAAAUUUUUAGAUUUUAGUCAAAUGCUUAUCAAUACCCACAGUCCCUCCUCAUUUUUAGUGCAGUGGCGAAGGAAGGAAGCAGUCAUAGUCGUUAUUUUGUGUCAAAUUUUCUGAUGAAUUUUAUGUUGGUAUAGAUUUAGGAUUGAUUAGAGGUAUACUUUUCCAACAUAUCCACACUGGACCGGGAUCCUCGAUCUCCAUUUCCGGCUCCUGGGAGACAGGGAAUGAGAUGGGGUUUGGACCUUUUUUUUUUUUUUUCCUAAGAGAAUACAUCUAUAUGCUUUAGGAUGCAUGUGAUAGUGUUAUUUCCACACUUUUUAUGCAUAGCUCUGUAGAGAUGAACACAUUGUGUAUCUUUCUCUCCAUGCUUCCUCUAUUAUUUUCCUAUUUUAUAUUUUUCGUAUAUUCUAACAUUAACCAUCCAGUUAUUUAAACCAUAAUUUUGCUACAGUGAAAAGCAAACCCAUCAUCGUUGUCUUCCAUGGAGCCACAGUCACCGCAAGCCAAUCGUCUUCCAUGAGAGCUAUCUUUAUUUAUGUAAUCCUAAGUGCCAUUUAAAGUGAUGAACGUAGGUGUUCAUCACGGAACCAUACGUAAUUCUCAUAUUUGUUGAUAUUGCUCAGUGCACCGAGUCUCUCACAGGAAUAUUGCAGGAGUUUUCAAGAGAGAGAGAUGGCUGAGGCAGACAUUUCCAAAAAGUCGGCCGCCGUGGACUCCCACCAGAGGCACCGGGAGUGCAUGAGCUCAGCCAAUGAAGGGUAGGAAAGCAGAUGAGUCUUCAAGGAAAGACAGCUCUUGUCACGGGCGGAACAAAAGGAUAGCUCUCUUUGCCUUCUCUUGCUAUCUUCAAAGUAAUUUGUCAUAGAGAUCUAUAAAAGUCAUCAAUCCUAAUAUUCUCUAUUUAUGAAUUGAUUCAUGUGUGUUAUUAAAUUUUAAUUUUAAUUCAAAAUCAAUGAUAAGAUGAAAAAUGUGCAUAACAAAUAAGAUUUAAUUACCAUAAACUAGGGGAUCCAAAUUCAUCCGCACCAAGGGGUCUCAAGGCGAGCUAAUUACACUAACAACGACAUCAGUUCAGAUAUUAGCCUAUAAGAGCAUUUUCAACCUCUUAUCUAAAGCUUUUAUGAGCCAAAAUCAACCCCAACAUAUUAUCUAUUGGAAUAUACAUAAAAUAUUAUAUAUUUUUCGUAUUUACUCUAUACCCUAUAAAUAAGAACCUUUGUAUUAUAGACCUUUGACAUGCAUGCUACUUCUCCAUU